GAUGAACGCUGGCGGCGUGCCUAAUACAUGCGAGUCGAGCGAACAGACGAGGAGCUUGCUCCCCUGACGUUAGCGGCGGACGGGUGAGUAACACGUGGAUAACCUACCUAUAAGACUGGGAUAACUUCGGGAAACCGGAGCUAAUACCGGAUAAUAUAUUGAACCGCAUGGUUCAAUAGUGAAAGACGGUUUUGCUGUCACUUAUAGAUGGAUCCGCGCCGCAUUAGCUAGUUGGUAAGAUAACGGCUUACCAAGGCAACGAUGCGUAGCCGACCUGAGAGGGUGAUCGGCCACACUGGAACUGAGACACGGUCCAGACUCCUACGGGAGGCAGCAGUAGGGAAUCUUCCGCAAUGGGCGAAAGCCUGACGGAGCAACGCCGCGUGAGUGAUGAAGGUCUUCGGAUCGUAAAGCUCUGUUAUUAGGGAAGAACAAAUGUGUAAGUAACUAUGCACGUCUUGACGGUACCUAAUCAGAAAGCCACGGCUAACUACGUG
RNAcentral lists this ribosomal RNA (497 nucleotides) under uncultured bacterium. RNAcentral describes it as "partial 16S ribosomal RNA". It matches the Rfam family "Bacterial small subunit ribosomal RNA", at positions 28 to 507 of the family's 1533-position model. The record is from RNAcentral.